This 453-nucleotide ribosomal RNA is filed under the name uncultured bacterium. Its description in RNAcentral is "bacterial SSU rRNA". It matches the Rfam family "Bacterial small subunit ribosomal RNA", at positions 28 to 526 of the family's 1533-position model. The record is from RNAcentral.
GAUGAACGCUGGCGGUAUGCUUAACACAUGCAAGUCGAACGGAGUGCUUCGGCACUUAGUGGCGGACGGGUGAGUAACGCGUGAGAAUCUGGCUUCAGGUCGGGGACAACAGUUCGAAAGGGCUGCUAAUACCGGAUAUGCCGAGAGGUGAAAGAUUAAUUGCCUGGAGAUGAGCUCGCGUCAGAUUAGCUAGUUGGUGGGGUAAGAGCUCACCAAGGCGACGAUCUGUAGCUGGUCUGAGAGGAUGAUCAGCCACACUGGGACUGAGACACGGCCCAGACUCCUACGGGAGGCAGCAGUGGGGAAUUUUCCGCAAUGGGCGAAAGCCUGACGGAGCAAUACCGCGUGGGGGAGGAAGGUUUUUGGAUUGUAAACCCCUUUUCUCUGGGAAGAUGAUGACGGUACCAGAGGAAUCAGCAUCGGCUAACUCCGUGCCAGCAGCCGCCGUAACAC